This 492-nucleotide ribosomal RNA is filed under the name uncultured bacterium. Its description in RNAcentral is "bacterial SSU rRNA". It matches the Rfam family "Bacterial small subunit ribosomal RNA", at positions 28 to 528 of the family's 1533-position model. The record is from RNAcentral.
GAUGAACGCUAGCGGCAGGCCUAACACAUGCAAGUCGAGGGGCAUCGCGGUGCAGCAAUGCACUGGCGGCGACCGGCGUACGGGUGCGUAACGCGUAUGCAACCUGCCCCGCACCGGGGGAUAGCCCGCCGAAAGGCGGAUUAAUACCCCAUGGUCCCGGGUGUCCGCAUGGGCAUCCGGGUAAAGCCUUGGCGGUGCGGGAUGGGCAUGCGUGCCAUUAGCUGGCUGGUGGGGUAACGGCCCACCAGGGCAACGAUGGCUAGGGGGUCUGAGAGGAUGGUCCCCCACACUGGUACUGAGACACGGACCAGACUCCUACGGGAGGCAGCAGUGAGGAAUAUUGCACAAUGGGCGCAAGCCUGAUGCAGCAACGCCGCGUGAGGGACGACGGCCUUGGGUUGUAAACCGUCUUUAGUCAGGGAAGAAGCGAAAGUGACGGUACCUGCAGAAAAGACGCCGGCUAACUACGUGCCAGCAGCCGCGGUAAUCGAU